RNAcentral lists this ribosomal RNA (391 nucleotides) under Scleropages leichardti (spotted bonytongue). RNAcentral describes it as "partial 12S ribosomal RNA". It matches the Rfam family "Bacterial small subunit ribosomal RNA", at positions 794 to 1384 of the family's 1533-position model. The record is from RNAcentral. Lineage: Eukaryota; Metazoa; Chordata; Actinopteri; Osteoglossiformes; Osteoglossidae.
GCCCAGUCGUAAACUUUGAUGAUAAUAUACCUAUACCAUUCGCCAGGGAACUACGAGCGCAUUGCUUAAAAUCCAACGGACUUGGCGGUGCCCCACACUCCACCUAGAGGAGCCUGUUCUAUAACUGAAACUACUCGUUAAACCUCACCGCCCCUAGCCAUACAGUCUAUAUACCGCCGUCGCAAGCCCACCCUGUGAGGGAGAAGCAGCAAGCAAGAUGGGUAUAGCCCAGAACGUCAGGUCGAGGUGUAGCACAUGAGGCGGAAAGAAAUGGGCUACAUUUUCUGAAAAACAGAACACACGAAUAUAACUAUGAAACAUAUUACUUGAAGGAGGAUUUAGCAGUAAAAAGAAAGCAGAGAGUUCUUUUGAAGCCGGCUCUGGGGCGCGC